This is an RNA transcript of Vitis vinifera (wine grape), 4599 nucleotides long. It is a transcript of the gene named receptor-like protein EIX1, with no coding region annotated. The transcript has 3 exons. The record is from RefSeq and is a predicted model, not a curated record. NCBI's taxonomy places the organism in Eukaryota, Viridiplantae, Streptophyta, Magnoliopsida, Vitales, Vitaceae.
AUUUAUAGUGUUUCUCGCUAUCUAAUGCUUCAAGUUUUUUUUUUUUUUUUUGUAGGUGAUUUCUAUAGUUGGAAUGUUUUGAUCAAUAGCAAUCAUCAAAGCAUAUUUGAUAUUUGUUGGGAUGAUUUCAAUUAUAUUUUAUUUGACAUGUAUUCAAAUAUGUUGUUUACUUGGGAAUUUUUAAUCUUAUUAAACAAAUGACUAGUUAAAUUAAAUAUGUUAUUAAUUGUCUAAUGUCUUGUUUCCAUUACUAAUUGAAUUUUGUCACUAUUUUUCUUGUUGUGUUGGAACUUAAUUUUACUUGUUUCUACAGGUGUUCCUAGAUGGAGAAAAUUUCAAUUCUCGAUCAUUCUAUAUUUAAUAAAAAUAGAACUUACUUGUUAAGGUGAGACCAUUUUGGGAAAUUGCUUAAAAAAUGAUAAAGAUGAUCUUACGCACUUCAAAAAUGGUCUCAGAGGUUCUAACAACCAGAUUUCAUCAUGGAGAGAGCUCGAUUGUUGUCAAUGGGAGGGAAUUGAUUGUGAAAAUAAAAUAGGAGUUGUUAUUUCAGUUGAUCUUCAUAACCCACAUUCUCCCGAUGAAGCAUAUGAGAAUGAAACUUCUAUGAACUUGAGUGGAGAGAUUAGGCCUUCAUUAAUAGAACUCAAAUCCUUGAGAUAUUUAGAUUUGAGUGGAAACUUAUUUGAGCAUAUUUCAAUUCCUGAAUUCUUUGGAUAGUUAAAGAAUUUAGAAUAUCUAAACCUAUCAAAUUGUGGGUUUAGUGGUGCAAUUCCUCUUAGCUUGGGAAACCUCUCUAAUUUGAAAUUUCUUGAUCUUUCUAGCCAUGAAUCUUUUGAUUUAUUUGUUAAUUUUGAAUCCUAUGAUUUAUAUGUUAAUGAUCUUGAAUGGAUGACUAGUCUUGUUUUACUUUACCAAUAAUGCCAAGUUGUCUCUAGUGUUUUCCUCUGCCUAAUGCUUCUAAGCUUCUCUUGUGGGUGAUUUCUAUAGUUUUGAUAAGCAACAAUCAUCAGACCAUGUUUGAUAUGGAUCUGUGUUCAAGUAUGCCAUCCAUUUGACAUGUUUUAAUCUUAUUAACUUAUGAUUGAUUAAAAUCUAUGUGUUAUUUAAUAUCCAAUAACUUGAAGUUUUGAUUACUUAUCAAAUUUCAUCACUAUUUUGAUUCUUCUUUCGGAACUUAAUAUUAAUUACUUGUUUUUAUAGGUGUUCUUAGAUGGUGAAAAUUUCAAUUCUUGGUUUCCUUUUGGUCAUUCUAUGUUUAAUAACAAGAGAUCUUGCUUGCAAGGGUGAAACCCUUGAGGGAAAUUGCUUAAGAGCUGAUCGAGAAGCUCUUCUUGACUUCAAAAAUGGUCUCAAAGAUUCUUCUGACAACCGGCUUUCAUCAUGGAUAGGAGGCAAUUGUUGUCAAUGGGAGGGAAUUGGUUGUGAAAAUAACACAGGAGUUGUUAUUUCAAUCGAUCUUCAUAACCCAUAUUAUCUUGAAGAAGCAUAUGAAAAUUGGAGUUCAAUGAACUUAAGCGGGGAGAUCCGACCUUCUUUGAUAGAACUCAAAUAUUUGAGGUCUUUAGAUUUGAGUGGCAACUCAUUUGAGCAUAUCCCAAUUCCUAAAUUCUUCGGAUCUUUGAAAAGUUUACAAUAUCUGAACUUAUCAAAUUGUGGAUUCAGAGGUGCAAUUCCUCCAACCUUGGGAAACCUUUCUAAUUUGCAAUUUCUUGAUCUUUCUUCCAUUGAAUCUCAGUUAUUUGUUAAGAACCUUGAAUGGAUGACUAAUCUUGUUUCCUUAAGGCAUCUCAAGUUGAACUAUGUCAACCUAUCAAUGGUAGGAUCUCACUGGAUGGAGGUAUUCAACAAGCUUUCAUUUUUAACAGAGUUGCACCUACAACAGUGUGGGCUCUCUGGUUCAAUUUCAUCUCUAAACUCUAUCAAUUUUACUUCAUUGUCUGUCAUAAGCAUCAGUGGCAACUCUUUUCGGUCAAAGUUCCCAAUAUGGCUUCUAAACAUUAGCAGCCUUGUAUACAUUGAUGUAAGCUCUAGUGAGUUAUAUGGGCAAAUUUCACUUGGCCUUGGGGAACUACCUAACUUGCAGCACUUGGAUCUAUCUUGGAACAGAAAUCUCACAGGUAGUUGCUCUCAACUGUUAAGCGGAAGCUGGAAGAAGAUAGAAUUUCUGAAUUUGGCAAAAAAUAAAUUUCUUGGAAGUUUCUCUGAGUUUCUCGAAGAGAUCAAAAACUGCAGUUCUGAAGGUCCUUUACCAGAACUGGGGUAUUUGGACUUGUCCUCGAAUCAAUUAGUGGGCUGAUUGCCAGAACGGUUGAGUCAGCUGGAAAAACUUACAUAUUUGGAUCUAUCCAGGAACAAGCUUCAAGGCCCUAUCCCUGCUUCUUUUGGGACAUUCAAAAAUCUGAAUGAGAUGCGGCUUGUAUGGAAUGAACUGAAUGGGAGUCUCCCAGUUAGUUUUGGACAACUUUCUGAAGUGGUUGUAUUGGAAGUUUAUGGGAAUCGCUUGACUGGAAUUCUUUCUGAAGAACAUUUUUCAAAGUUAAGUAAGUUGAAGACUCUGUGGAUGGGUGGAAAUUCAGGUCUCGUUUUGAAUGUUAGUUCCACCUGGGUCCCCCCAUUCCAACUCACUGAUCUGGCGAUGGCUUCAUUCAAUUUAGGCCCUUCAUUCCCGACUUGGCUUAGGUCUCAAAAGGAGGUCUCCUAUCUGUAUUUAUUUAAUGCUAGCAUCUCAGGUUCCAUACCCAAGUGGUUUUGGAAUAUUUCUUUCAAUCUGCGGGAAUUAAGUCUUUCUGACAAUCAGUUACAAGGAAUUCUUUCUGAAGAACAUUUUUCAAAGUUGAGUAAGCUGAAGUUUCUGUGGAUAGGUGGAAAUUCAGGUCUCGUUUUGAAUGUUAGUUCCACCUGGGUCCCCCCAUUCCAAAUCACUUUUCUGAGUAUGGCUUCAUGCAAUUUAGGCCCUUCAUUCCCAACUUGGCUUAGAUCUCAAAAGAAGGUCUCCUUUCUGGAUUUGUCAAAUGCUAGCAUCUCAGGUUCCAUACCCAAGUGGUUUUGGAAUAUUUCUUUUAAUCUACAACUGUUGAAUCUUUCCAACAAUCAGUUACAAGGUCAGCUACCAAAUUCAUUAAAUUUUUAUGGUGAAUCAGAGAUUGAUUUCAGUUCCAACCUCUUUGAGGGACUUAUUCCUUUUUCAAUCAAAGGGGUCUAUUUACUAGAUCUCUCACACAAUAAAUUUUUUGGCCCUAUCCCACUGAGCAGAGGUGAAUCUAUGUUAGACUUGAAUUACCUUUUCCUUUCGGAAAAUCAAAUAACAGGGACCAUCCCAGAUUCCAUAGGACAAAUCACCUCUCUUCAAAUCAUUGAUUUUUCAAGGAAUAAUUUGACUGGAAGCAUUCCUUAUACCAUAGGUAAUUGCUCUAGCCUAAUUGUUCUUGACCUUGGAAAUAACAAUUUAUCUGGGAUGCUACCAAAGUCGUUGGGCCAGUUACAAUGGCUCGAAUCAUUGCAUCUGAACGACAACAAGCUUUCAGGAGAGCUCCACUCAUCUUUCCAAAAUUUAUCAAGAUUGGAACUCCUUGAUCUCAGUUAUAACCAGUUAUCGGGUAAGGUUCCUUCAUGGAUUGGAACUGCUUUCAUAAAUCUUGUAAUACUCAACUUGAGGUCAAAUGUAUUUUUUGGAAGACUUCCCUCCCAGCUUUCAAAUUUAAGCUCCCUACAUGUCUUAGACCUUGCACAAAACAAUCUGAUGGGUGAAAUUCCAGUCACUUUGUUUGAGCUUAAAGCCAUGGUUCCGGAGUAUAACAAGAAUAUAUAUCCUUUGUAUGACAAUGUGAGAAACUCUCAGUAUGAAGAACGAUUGGUGGUGAUUAUGAAAGGUCAAAGUCUUGCAUACACCAGGACUCUUUCUUUGGUUGUAGGCAUAGACCUAUCCGACAAUAAUUUAAGUGGAGAGCUUCCCCAAGAAAUAACAAAAUUGUUUGGUUUGGUGGUUUUGAACUUGUCUGGGAAUCACAUCAGUGGCCAAAUUCCUGAAAGCAUUUCAAUGUUGCACCAGUUAUUAUCUCUUGAUUUGUCAAGGAAUAAGCUUUCCGGCAGCAUUCCUUCAAGCAUGGUUUCAUUAACAUUCUUGAGUUAUUUGAAUCUAUCGAAUAAUAAUUUCUCUGGUAAGAUCCCCUUUAUAGGGCAAAUGACAACCUUCAAUGAGUCGGCCUUUGUUGGAAACCCUAAUCUUUGUGGAGCUCCAUUGGUCACAAAAUGCCAAGAUGAAGAUCUAGAUAAAAAGUGUAGUGUUAUUGAGGACAAAAAUGAUGGUGGCUAUAUUGAUCAAUGGUUUUACUUGAGUGUUGGCUUGGGAUUUGCGAUGGGUAUUUUAGUUCCAUAUUUUGUUUUGGCAACAAGGAAAUCUUGGAGUGAGACCUACUUUGAUUUUGUGGAUAAAAUUGUCAAAUGGUUGUUGAGAGGAAUAGCAACCUAUGCCAAAGAUCACCUGCGAAGGUAAUAAAUUUUGUUUGUAGAUCUUUAUAUGCUCUAUGUAUAAUUACAAGCUUUGAAAGUGAAUGUCAUUACAGUUGCAAUAAAAGACAAAAUUUCUCUUUUAAUUUAUUC